CUCCCCAGACUUGACACAAGCUGCUGACCGACCUGAGCCCAAACUAGCACUGGUGCUGUACAGGGGUCAGUGUUCAGGGCUUGGUUCUUCCCAACUUACACUGUGCACGGUGUCCUUCCUGCUCCUGGGCCCUGCUGCAAUGCAGGUCACCACCAAGCAUCUCUGCUGGCUGCAGCAGCCAGAGAAGACCCAGUGCCUCCAGUGAUCUUGCUCUAGAGCUCCUUUUCCUGCACCCAUGUGGAAUGGCACGAGAAAGAAGAUAGAAGAGCAGCAGAAGAGCCUUGUCAGUUGGAGAUCCCUAAUUGGGGAUGUCUGUGUUAUACUACCUUAUGUUACAGUCUCUGGAGCCUGAUGCAACUUUUUCUACGUACUACAAAAUCCAGCUGAUAAUCAGUCUGAGGUCAUUUUCUUAAUUCACCACUGAUUAAUGAGCAAUCCAGCUGUUGCUAAAUUUCCCCAGUAGAGCACUUUGUUAGGUCAAGGAGAGGGAAAAAAAUGAAAAAGGAAAAG
Molecule: long non-coding RNA, 510 nt
Organism: Oxyura jamaicensis (ruddy duck)
Lineage: Eukaryota; Metazoa; Chordata; Aves; Anseriformes; Anatidae
Exons: 3
Source: RefSeq, a predicted model, not a curated record